GGGUUAUUAAAUAGCUUGUUAAGUGCCCCUUUGCAUAUCCUCACCAGUUGAACCUGAAUCUUUUUUGUUUACCGGCUCCCCGAUGCCAAUCUUACCCGUUUAACCGGUGAACGUAACAAUUGGCAACCGUGACAGGAUCCUUAUAACCCGUUCUCAAUGUUCCAUUUUUCUAGUGACUUUUUUGUGAUUACAUUGUCUUUUUUCUUUCUGUGGUGUUGACUGUUUUUUUUGUGACUUGCUCUGCGUGUGGUUUAAAUUUACCUUUGUGCGAUCAAGUGGCUCUCUUUGGGUUGAAAGUGCUUCGUGACCUUCAUUGGUAUCACAUAACAGUGGUAGAGCAGGAAACCAAGUAGAAAACAGUGGUAGAGCAGGAAACCAAGUAGAAAGGCUUGUUCACCGAUAGCAUUUCUAUUUGCACAUACAGGUGUAAUAAGUGUUAUCCAAGUGUUGGGAUCGUAUGUUCAUGUGAACCCUCAAUCCCCUCACUUCGCGGAUCAUUUUUCUCGCUAGUUAUAAUUGGCCCUUUUAAUUAGUCCCGACUAAUCCGCUUCCUUUUCAAUAACAAGUCCCAGUAUAAUUCACUCCUUAUCUUCUGUAGUCUCGUAACUAAUCCGGAUCCCUUUUAAUACCUACAAGAAGGCUCUUCCAACUUUUUUUUUUUUGGCCAGGAAUAAAAAUGUCGCUAUAUAAAAACGGGUCCUAAAAAAUGUCGCUAUAUCAAAAACAUGUCAAAUUGUGGGUAGGCCUAACGAACCCCUCAACCUUCCUGUGAUGACCGCUUGGUGCCGCUCACCGUGCGGCACCUGUUGGUAGAGUGCCCUAGUUUGACAGUUACGUCACCGCUACCUCUACCGCUGUCGGGGUAAAGAUAGCGGUGUCUAAUUAUAUCUCGAAGGUCCUUGGACCAGAGUGCCUGGUUAACGCCAUGACGUUUUUAGCUUUUUGGGAGAAGCUGGACUUCUCCCAAAUUUGUGAAUUUUAUCUGAUUUUAUGUAUUUUAAUGCCUUAAAUUUUAUUGUAUACUGUAUUUUAGUUUCUUUUGAUUCUAGGAUUUUUGUUUGGUUUUAGUUUUGUAGUUUUUAAUUGCUUUUAGUUUUUUUUAUUUUAUGGUCUUUUUUUAGUUAGUUUUUUAUUUUAUCGUGUCCUUUUCAUAUUUCGUAGCGGCGCCAGAUGACGCUCCUAACGAACGCUUUGUGCCAGCUCCUCUGACGCCUAUUCCAGUUCAGAUGGAGCCGUUCGAAAAGAUCCUUCUGGACUGCGUAGGGCCCUUACCCAAACCAAACGAGGGAAUCGGUAUUUGUUAACCGUCAUGGAUCCCACUACCAGAUGGUGAAUGAGCUAAACAUCGACCAUGUAACCUCGGCUUACCACCCCCGAUCCCAAGGUUGUCUGGAGCGGUUUCACCGAACAUUAAAAUCCAUGAAGUAUUGCUUGGAGCAUCAAGGAGACUGGGAUGAAAGUAUCUCUUUUCUCUUCGCCUUAAGAGAUUGUCAUCAACGAACCUAGGUUAACAUCUAAGCCAGAUGGUAGUAGUCGAUUUUGCACCGACUACAGGAAAUUAAAUAAAGUGACGGUACCAGACUCCUACCCAUUGCCCUUGAUAGAGGACCUUAUAGGUA
This 1619-nucleotide long non-coding RNA is filed under the name Portunus trituberculatus (swimming crab). Its description in RNAcentral is "uncharacterized LOC123505402". The record is from RNAcentral. Lineage: Eukaryota; Metazoa; Arthropoda; Malacostraca; Decapoda; Portunidae.